Molecule: ribosomal RNA, 253 nt
Filed under: uncultured bacterium
Lineage: Bacteria
Description: partial 16S ribosomal RNA
Rfam family: Bacterial small subunit ribosomal RNA
Source: RNAcentral
UACGUAGGGUGCGAGCGUUAAUCGGAAUUACUGGGCGUAAAGCGUGCGCAGGCGGUUCGUUAAGUUCGAUGUGAAAGCCCCGGGCUCAACCUGGGAACUGCAUUGGAAACUGGCGAGCUUGAAUGCGGCAGAGGGGGGUGGAAUUCCGCGUGUAGCAGUGAAAUGCGUAGAGAUGCGGAGGAACACCGAUGGCGAAGGCAGCCCCCUGGGCCGGCAUUGACGCUGAGGAGCGAAAGCCAGGGGAGCAAACGGG